RNAcentral lists this small RNA (481 nucleotides) under Pongo abelii (Sumatran orangutan). Its description in RNAcentral is "retained intron". The record is from RNAcentral. Lineage: Eukaryota; Metazoa; Chordata; Mammalia; Primates; Hominidae.
UGCUGACCAGGUUGCUAUUCUGGAAGCGGCAUUUCUGCCGCUACAAGAAGACACUCAAGAAUUGGGCUGGGAAGAAACGGUGGAUGCCGCCAUUUCCCACCUGUUGAAGACUUGCCUGUCGAAGAGUUCUAAGGAGCAGGCUUUGAACCUCAACAGCCAGCUGAACAUACCCAAAGACACAAGCCAACUGAAGAAACAUAUCACCUUGCUCUGCGAUAGAUUAGCCAAAGGUGGCCGUCUCUGCCUAAGUACCGAUGCAGCAGCCCCACAGACCAUGGUCAUGCCAGGUAAGAGCUCUGUCCAUGCUCCCUAAACACAAUUGUACUUCUCCUAAAUUAAAGGAAUGUGCCUGUGGUUGUAUUUGGGGUUUAAAUUUCAUAUUAAAGUGACGACAGCCAAGAAAAUUGAUUUCACGUUUCCCCUCUGACAUCCCAGGGUAACCCCUUGAAUAAAUAUUCUUGAGAUAUUUGCUUGCUAGACA